This is a long non-coding RNA of Haliotis rubra (blacklip abalone), 420 nucleotides long. RefSeq lists it as uncharacterized. The record is from RefSeq and is a predicted model, not a curated record. The transcript has 2 exons. NCBI's taxonomy places the organism in Eukaryota, Metazoa, Mollusca, Gastropoda, Lepetellida, Haliotidae.
UUUGCCAACGCAUCGUGACUGAAGUGAGGUGUACCCAACAGAAUCGGGGAUAUCGACGACAGAUUUCGGAUGUUGAAAGAACGAUUCAUUAUUGGGAUUCAUGUGGGAUUUGUACAAUUUGAAGGAUGAAACCGGACACAAAAGGCCAUUCUCAUCAACCUUAGCAAAGCGGGACUGUGGAGGGACGCUCGGUGUACAAGAUGGAGCCGGGUCAGCGUUAGCGCUGGAAUUUCGAAGUGGAAACGUCCGGAGUGCUGGGAUUGGUGUAUUUUGGAAGAUCAAUAUCUAGAAACAAGUAUCAUUAACUUAUUCUUUGGCUGAAUAAUAAUCUUUAAACUUGGAAUAUUGUACCAAAUUAAAUACACGAAUGCUUUAAAUUUGCGGAGCAGUUCAUUUGUGAAUAAACAUCAUUGAAGGAUA